This 655-nucleotide ribosomal RNA is filed under the name Pseudozyma thailandica. RNAcentral's name for it is "LSU rRNA". It matches the Rfam family "Eukaryotic large subunit ribosomal RNA", at positions 38 to 695 of the family's 3401-position model. The record is from RNAcentral. Lineage: Eukaryota; Fungi; Basidiomycota; Ustilaginomycetes; Ustilaginales; Ustilaginaceae.
GCAUAUCAAUAAGCGGAGGAAAAGAAACUAACAAGGAUUCCCCUAGUAACGGCGAGUGAAGAGGGAAGAGCCCAAGAUUGAAAGCUGGCGUCUUCGGCGUCCGCAUUGUAAUCUCAAGAAGUGUUUUCCGCUUCGGACCAAGCCUAAGUCUCCUGGAAAGGAGCAUCAUAGAGGGUGAUAAUCCCGUACAUGGCUUGGAGCGCCCGUAGCUUUGUGAUACAUUUUCUAAGAGUCGAGUUGUUUGGGAAUGCAGCUCAAAAUGGGUGGUAAAUGCCAUCUAAGGCUAAAUAUUGGGGAGAGACCGAUAGCGAACAAGUACAGUGAUGGAAAGAUGAAAAGAACUUUGAAAAGAGAGUUAAACAGUACGUGAAAUUGCCAAAAGGGAAGGGUAGGAGGUCAGAGAUGCGGCCUGGGAUUUAUUUCCCAGAUUGCAGGCCAACGUCGGUUUUGGGCACUGGAGAAGGGUAAGAGGAACGUGGCACCCCUCGGGGUGUGUUAUAGCCUCUUACUGGAUACAGCGACCGAGACCGAGGACAGCAGCGUACUCGCAAGAGCGGGCCCUCGGGCACCUUUACGCUUAGGGCGUUGGCAUAGUGGCCCUCUACCACCCGUCUUGAAACACGGACCAAGGAGUCUAACAUGUAUGCGAGUCUUU